RNAcentral lists this ribosomal RNA (259 nucleotides) under uncultured bacterium. RNAcentral's name for it is "partial 16S ribosomal RNA". It matches the Rfam family "Bacterial small subunit ribosomal RNA", at positions 1232 to 1500 of the family's 1533-position model. The record is from RNAcentral.
GGCAGGUCAGAGGGAUGCUACCGGGCGACCGGAUGCGGAUCUCGAAAGCCUGUCCCAGUUCGGACUGGAGUCUGCAACCCGACUCCACGAAGUUGGAUUCGCUAGUAAUCGCGCAUCAGCCAUGGCGCGGUGAAUACGUUCCCGGGCCUUGUACACACCGCCCGUCAAGCCAUGGGAGCCGGGGGCGCCUGAAGUCCGGGACCGCGAGGACCGGCCUAGGGCGAAACUGGUAACUGGGGCUAAGUCGUAACAAGGUAGC